UGUUUAUCAAAAACAUUAUCAUAUGAUCUCACACCUAUAUGACACGCCCUGCCCAAUGAAAAUUGAAUGGCUGCGGUAUCCUGACCGUACUAAGGUAGCAUAAUAAUUUGUCUAAUAAUUAUAGUCUCGAAUGAACGGGUAAACGCGUGCGUGACUGUGUCAGCUAUAAAUUCAAAACUUAUCCUCUAGAUGAAAAGACCUAGAUCCAGAUAAAGGACAAGAAGACCCUACAGAGCUUUAUUUUUCAACCGCGGGAUAACGCGAUGGGAAAUUGGAUGGGGCGUUCCGGGAACCACCAAGCCUCCCGCCCUUAACCGAGCUACCACUCUAAGAAACAACCUCACAACUUGAAUCCAGACAAAGUUACCUUAGGGAUAACAGGCUAAUACUCCUUAAGAGCUCAUAUUCACAGGAGUGUUUGGCACCUCGAUGUUGGCUUAGGGAAAGAACGCAAUGCAGAAGUUGCGACCUCUUAGUUUGUUCAACUAUAAAACCCCUACGUGAUCUGAGUUCAAACCGGGC
Molecule: ribosomal RNA, 522 nt
Filed under: Heterodrilus minisetosus
Lineage: Eukaryota; Metazoa; Annelida; Clitellata; Tubificida; Naididae
Description: partial 16S ribosomal RNA
Rfam family: Bacterial large subunit ribosomal RNA
Source: RNAcentral